This is a long non-coding RNA of Lagopus muta (rock ptarmigan), 7752 nucleotides long. RefSeq lists it as uncharacterized. The transcript is spliced from 5 exons. The record is from RefSeq and is a predicted model, not a curated record. Lineage: Eukaryota; Metazoa; Chordata; Aves; Galliformes; Phasianidae.
CAUAAAAGAUAGGCUUCUACUUACUAUUUUAGUCUGGCCUGUACUAUGUAGAAAGCCAGAUUAAAUCAUCAUAAUAUUCCCUUCUAGCCUUAAUCUACAUGUGAUUAAAAACAUGUUACGUAGUUACCUGUUCCUAUAGAGAUGACCAUCUCCACCCCAUUCAAGUUGAUAUUUUCAAGCCAUCAAAUGAAACUAGCUGAGACAAAGUGUGCUUGAUGAAACUGCUUGUGUGACAUCUGCAAAUCACAGCUGUGUCUGUGGGGAUGUCAGUAAGUAAAUAUUGAGGCUGAAAUCCUAAAACACAACAGAUACACAGCCAGCAUGGUGUCCCACAGGUGGGUGCAGGCGUGCCAUGCACUGGAAGGGACAACCAACCCUUCAGGCCUUUCCUGUAUUCCACCGUCCUCCAUGAAUAUUGAAGAUGGAAUUUUUUUUUACACAUUUAUAGUAGCAAUCACGUGAACCCGAGCUCAUUUUCACAAACAAAGCAUGCCCAAUCAACAGUCUCAUUUUUUUUUUUCUGCCUAAUGGAUAUUAACACAACAAUUUUUGCAGAAAAGGUACAGGUGGGUUUCACACUCCUUCUGGGCCCCACAACAAAGACUUGCAGGUGUUUCCUAUAUCUUUGUGGUUAUUUCUUUCAAACAGCAUCUGUUGAAAUGCAUCUUGCCUCCUGCUUAAAAUAACCCCAUUGCUUGGCAAUGCAGGGUGUUUGCCUUAGCCUUAACUGCCCACCCACGCUGAACAUUUUAUGUUAUUUAGAUCAACCAGGGGCACAAUGAGAGUCUUUGACCAGCAAGACUUCCUUCAGAGUGGGAGGCUCUGAAGGGGGAAAGGUGACCUAGGGAUGUGGUAACAUUUUUCACCUCCACUUCUCUUUCCAGUCGGGCAGCCCCGUCAUAGUUGGCACCGACCGCGCUACCACCUGCCGCCUCCUCAGCGUCCCAGCAGAAAUCCACACAAAACCUGGCUUGUCUUUGGGUAAUUCCACUUGUAAAGUAGAAGCAGCUCACUUAAGCAUUGCGCACGGCAUCUUAUUAAGCACCUCGUGAUAUGUAAAAUUAAGACAACUGAAAGAAAAUUUCUGAAAAUGCGUCUCUAUACUUUGUGACCACAGCUGACUUGUAUCUGGUGAGGUUUCCUGGGUCGUGAGUCCAUAGUUCCCAUAACCUUUUGGAAAAUGUCUGAUUUAACUUUAUUUUGCUUCAAUAAUAACUACUAAUGUUGUGUUAACCAAUCAAAAGAAAACAAGUGGUCAAAGCAAGACCUAGAAAAACAGAUCCAGGACAAUAUAGAUAGGUUGAACAUGAUUUGGUUCUGAAUGCUCAGCAUGAGCUAUAACUAAUUAUGACUAAAAUCCCCUGGGCAAACUGAUCUAGAUGUGGUGUCCCUAUUCAUUGCAGGGGAGUUGGCCCUUGGAGGUCCCUUCCAACUCUAAAGGUUCUAUGAUUAUGUGAUUCUAAUUCAGACAUGCAAAGUGGUCUGGGAGGGAACUGGGAGUCAGGAGUUAAGGCUAGGCACUACAAAUCUACCUCAAUCUGUGAAUUUCAUUGUAGGAAGAGCAUUAGGUUGUUUUAGUUUUUGUUUUUUUUUUCCUAAUUUCUUUUUUAUUUCUUUUUAGGGUGUUUUUGUUGUUGUUGUUAUUGUUAUUGUUGUUUUUUUCCUUUAAGAUAUGAUUUAGACACCACUGGGAGUUACUUGGAUGUUGCCUUCCAAAUUGAGUGCUUUUAUUUUUUUAAUACUGUAGUGGAAAUGCUGAGUCACAGCUUGAAGCAGUGAUUGAGCACCUGGUGGGAAGGCAGGGCCAACCCAGGGGAGCUCAGGUGCAUGCAAUGCAGCUAAAUGACCAGAAGGGCUGGAGCCAGGAUUCACCCCUUCCCAGCCCUCAUUUAAGGGCUGGCAGUGGAAACAAGAAUAUCUUCCUGGAGGUUUGUGCCUACCUAAGGCUUUGCAAAGGUCAACUGCAUUUAAAUAACUGCUAGAUAAACUGCCCACAACUUGAAAUGAAUGCUGGAUGAAAAACACAGCAUGUUCUACUCCCUUAAAGUUGUUCUGCAUAAUUUUUAACCAAGUUUUGGAUGGAAGAGGUGAAUUAUUGCACAGCAUACAACUUUGGGCCACACACUCAAUGCUGCCACCCAUAAACACCUUACCUCAUCUUGAAGGACUGGUGACACAAGGCUGUGCCCGACAUCAUGCAGGGCUGUGUGAUGACUGAUUCCAGUGAAUGAAAGGGAGGAGGUAUCAAGGAUGCUGAAGAAGGAAUGUACCACUUGUCUGCAGAGUCUGGACAGAAGAGAAAGGGACAGUAGAAAAUGGGUCCACUUCAUCUCACUGGACGUGUUCAAAGAAUCAGCCUGAUCUCACGUUCCAAGAAUGAAACCCUGGCAUGGAAGUGGCAUAUCUGCUAGUUAAUGUCAACAUUUGAUGUGCAGUCAGAGAGCAAACAGGAUUUCAUAUUGUGGUAAAAAAUGGAAAUACUAUUCGCUUUAAUUCUAGUUUCUUCGCGUCGGAUGUAUUAGGAGUCUCAUAAAAUAGUAAAAGAAUUUAAUUUUUACUUGCAAUUAUAAGAAGCAAUAUAUAUAUAUAAUACAAUGUACCUACUUCUGCAAGUACAAACAAUAUGUAAAAUCUAGUUAGUAAUGGAUAGCUUGAAACAUCCUUUGCAGAAAGCAUUAUAAUAAAAGACUUCAGUGACUUUGUUUAACACUCAGCUACUAAGAAGGGGAAGAGAACAUUUGACUGUGAAUGAACUUCCCUAUAGCAAAAGGAAAUUUCUCCCUGAUUUACAAAUAGGCACGGAGAGACUAAGAUAUCAUGUACAGUGGGUGCAGCUUGCUGUCCAGCUCUCACCAGCCAUGUGUAGAAAGCAAAUUAACCCAUGUGCUUUAUUGUCCUCCAGUCUUCUGGACAAGAGAUCACAGGAGAUCAUGUUUCAAACAGUGAUGUCCCAAGUCUGGGAAGUGCUGAGCAAUGGGACUCUCACUGCUGUAGGAAGGCAGUGCUCAGAACCGCAGGAUAGUCCUGGGCUCCCAGGGACAAUAAUGAAUGACAACCAUCGCUGGCACAGCACUUCUGUGAGUCUCAGAGCAGAAACACCUGCCACAUAUCCCACCCUGGCAGGGAAAUGGAGCUGGUGACCUAGCAAUCUUUUCCACCUCUAACUUCUGGGUCUUUAUGAAUCGUCAGUCACACCUAGGUGAGAUAUCACUAUAAAAUCUCAGUCACGUAAGAGAGCUGGCAGAAAGCUUUGGCUUUCUGCAACUCUGUGCAACUCUGUGGUUUUAUGCUUAGAUGUGUCCUAAAUACUGAGAACGAAGUAGACUUUCAAGCAUCAGUGUUGACAGUUGCUUUCAGAGAUGUUCAAACAAAAUCCAGUCACAUAGACAGCAAAACCAGUUGCAGCACUAACAUGGCUUUUUUUUCUUUUAAAAAGAAAGCCAUCCCUAUCCAAACACACCUGUGGUGUGGAGUGACUGAUGCAGCUCUUUUUCAAGAGGCUGGCAUAGUUCUUUAUAGACUCAUAAACCCAUGGAAGCAUUUUGGUUAGAAAAGACCUUCAAGAUCAUCAAAGUCCCACUGUCAACCUCACCUACCAAGUGCCACCACUCAACCACGUCCUUUAGUGCUGCAGAAUAUCCUCAGAGCAAACUCGAGCGCUGUGCCCAGUGCCAGCUCUAUACUUGGGUCAGUGACAAUGAUUGACUUCAGAUUAUGGGGGCAUAUGCCUGGUUGCUGUCAUCUUAACACUGGGGCAGAGCUCAGUCUUCAGUACAUUUUUCUACACAGUAUGUUGUGUUGCAGUUGGAAAGUUUCUUUCCUUCUUCUCCUCUUCUAAAGUCAUGCAGCGGGAAAAGAAAACAUGGGAAACCGUGUCUUCAAAUCAUACACCUAUACUUCAUCUUGCUGUAUAAUCAUCACAGACAUUUGGUGGUGAGCUGUACUGUAUCUGCGUUUUGUCUGGAGUUUGGAAGUGGUUUUAACGAUUUAAAUCGCGGUGAAGAACAGGGCCACUCAAAAUGCAGAGCUGGAAAGCAGAACCGCGUCAGCAUCUGAAGUAUUUUAAAGUAGAUUUUGGUCCAGGUCCCGCUCCACUGUGUCCUCAUGUUGGGAAAGUAUAUUCAGAGCUGACAUGUCUUUCCCAGGUGUUUUCUACUGGGACAAAGUGCAGAGAGUGCAGUUAAUCAUGAGUGCAUUCAAGUGUCCUAAGGUCUUUGGGUGAAAGCUGUUAGAGACAUUGAAAAAGUGUUUAAUAAUCACAGCCCCAUGUCCUCAGCAGAGGCUUUUUGGGUUCACAAAAGUUCAAACACCUUUUAAGAAAUUUAGGCCAAAAUGUAAGCAGGCCAGAGCCAUACAGCAGUUGUAAUUGCAACGGGGACAACACUUUGCUGAACCAUUUUCAGGAUCAUGACUACUUGCUAAGAUACAUGCUGAGUGUUGCUGCUUUUAUAAACCACAGCAGGUUCAAAGGUACUCUGAGCAGUUUCCUAUAGUUGACAUAGAAAGAUAUACUUUUUUUUUUUUCCCAACUGUCUCACUUUUAAACAGUUUCAAUUGGAAGGGCAUAUAACAAUAAUCCCCAAGAGGAUUCAACAUUGGGUCUUUCAAUGGGCUGUCAACACAUCCUGUUCUUUCUCAUUUGCAAUAUAUGUCACUAAAAACAAACUGGACAUAUAAGGUACCUGUUUUUUUUCAGCAAAAUUAUGACUCAUGGAUGAGAGUAAAAAUACCCACAAGUUUUGUAACAACUAUGAAAGCUGCAAUCCCAGCUGAAAGGAAGAUAAUUUUUCUCUGCUCUCCAUUUUCCUGCCUUUCUGUUGGUUCCUCAGACCAUCUUUAGGGAUAGCGUUGCUCACACAACACCGAACUCCAUGCAACAGGCUGCUAUUGUGCUAGAGCUCUGUAUGGAGUGCUAUGGCCUAGCAAGGGAGAUGUGAAACUCACUAAAAAAAAAAAGUUGUAUUUGUGAAAUGCUUUUGGAUUACAUAAAAACAUUGCAGAGGAUUUUAUUGCCCCUUGUUGUACCGGCUAAGAGUUACCCAAACCGUCCAUAGAUGGAAGAAGAAAGGUUUAUCUACAGCUUUUGGAGUAGUUAGAAGGAAGAUAGAUAAGCAAACUUCUUGGUUCUCUAAGAAGUAGAAACUAAGAGCAAAAGGAUGAGUACUAUAGGGAAACCAACACACACAUGAGGCCCAGUGCUCUCUCCUGCAUUUAAAUACAUAAGCACUUGCAAGUAUCAUAGCUAUGCACUAUUUUACACCAACUGCACGUUUCUGGUUGGUAUCCCUUUAGUGCGACAAGCUCCUUAGCACAACACUGAGCAAUACCUCAGUGCUGGUUUGUUUCUGCCACAAACCAAUUAAGUACUGAGAAGUUAAUCAUUAGCCGGCCAGUUGUGCACUGAGACAGACUCCCUUCUUUGUCUUACGGUGUUAUUAAAUGCCUUCUUCUUUGAAAUGCCGCAUAAAAGUGAUAGAUGCCCUUUCUUUACAAGUCAGCCAUCCAGGCAAGCGAUGUUUUAUAUAAGUUCAGCCAACAAGAGCCCUCCUUGUUUAAAUAUAGAAGCAUAGGGCAGAUAAGGCUGAGCAAACCACUGCUGCCAUGAGCCUGGGCUGCAGAUAGGGGCUGGGGGCCGGAGGGCACUGCUGCACCAGAUUUCACCCAAGAAUUACGGGGUGGGGAAAGGAUACAAUGCGAAAAACAAAUUAGGAUGAGGCCAAAUGGUCAUGUAUAUUUGCACUAGCACGAUGGAAAGCUAUCAGCAUCUCCUAAGGACGUUUCAUCGUUUUGAAGGGCAGUUUGGCAUGGAUACUGCCAUGGAAACACACAGUUGUACAAGCAGAUGAAUGAACAGGGAGAUGAAAAAGCAGGACUGAGUGAGACAGCAGAAUGUUCCCCUUCCCAAACCACUGAUCGUUUUCUCCCAGCAGCAAUGCUUCCCUACAUUUUUGCUAACUAGCUUUUACAAGGUAAAACUGGUGCUCAGGAGAAUAAUGCUCACUUUGUUUGCCCCUGGUGGAAACACAAGGCCGUCAAGGCAGGGCUCAGCUAAUGUAUAAUCUAUAUUUACAUGUUAAAAAAAAAAAACCACCCUUAUUUAGGCUUUUGAUUUAUAAUCCCUAGUUUUCAUAAAAGUCACUCAUUCCCAGUGAAAGAAUGCAGAGUAGAUUUAUAGGAUCUGUAUUAUGCCUUAAAUCUUAAUGGCAUUUCUAAAGCACUUUUAUGAGUCAUCCUGAGAAAUGCUUUCCCUCUAUUUCCAAGACAUUGUUGUGUAAAAACAGAUCCAAAUCUUUACCUUAAAAGCAAGAUUAUUUUAGCCAACCACGCUUGCAUCAACUCCACUGCAAUGCUAAACACUCUGUCUGCAAUGUCUUUAUAAGCCCCCAUUUCCAAGGGUUCACAGCUUCAAUGUAAAAUGCACUUUGUACUAUGUUUGAUAAGUUCUUUAACCUACAUGAGUGGUGAAUUUGUUUUCACCAUUACAGCCAAAAUAAAAUAAAUCUUUGGAGGUAUCUGUAGGAAGGAGCUGGUGACACACUGGAACAGGUUGCCCAAGGAGGUUGUGGAUGCCCCAUCCCUGGAGGCAUUUGAGGCCAGGCUGGAUGUGGCUCUGGGCAGCCUGGUCUGCUGGUUGGUGACCCUGCACAUAGCAGGGGGAGUUAAAACUGGGUGAUCACUGUGGCCCUUUUCAACCCAGGCCAUUCUAUGAUUCUAUGAUAAAAGGCCUGAUGCUGCGCCCUCCCCCUGUCCCUCACACCAGGUUCUUUGCUUUGAGAUAUGAAAUACACAAAGCUCAGGUUCGAUCAGAAGCAGCACCAUCUGAUUCCAAGUACAUUAAUCACAUGCACACAUACAGAAGUGCUGGCUGGGCAUUAACAGUGCCAUGCCAACUCUCAAACAGCUCUCUGUAGAGCCAAUAUCCUUUAGAUGGAAAUUUAAAUGUGUUUUGAAGAAGUGAAGAGUUGAGUAUCAUAACACGGAAUGGUACAGAAGCAAUUUCUUAAACAUUUUUUAGGAAGCCAAGCAGCAACUAGUUCAUGCAAAUAUGCUAUUGCAAACCAUAAAUACGUAUGCUCACUGAUGAGAUGUUUCAGCAGGACUAUUCCUGAUACCAAGUGUACCAUUUAGCAGAUGUAUCAGCAGAAACUAGGUCCUCAGUGAGUGACGAAUUGCGUAGAUCUUUGUAAAGCAUCUAUCCCCUUGUUAACAAACGUGUUGCAUCUUUUGGAAGAGACCAAGAGAACUGACUCCAACUGACAGAAACAACAGUAUGGGAUCCAAAGGAGUAGCACCAAAGUCUUGUGAGCACACACCUGGCUGAUUCCCCUUUGCCUUUGACUCUGUAUUCAUGGCUUUACAACUCAUCACCUACCUCUGUUGUUGAAGCUGUCUCUGCACAGAAUCCAGGAUUGGAUAGAUUAGAUAGAGAACCCUGGACUGGACCAAGCAGCACAAUUUUGGGAGAAGUGGGAGCUAAGGAGGCAAGGGAGAGCCUGUCACCCACCCACCAUCAGUCUACUAUGGAAAAUGCAACAGCAGAUUGUGAAUGAAGUUGUCCAACCUACAGCAGGUACAGUGAUAGUCCAGAAGGAGGCAAGAGCUCCAUGGGGGUGACCAGGCACCACACAAAUGUUUCAGAACCUGGAAAAGAUACAAGACACAAAAACAAGAUCUCCAUAUCAAUGUUUCUGGCAUAGCUCUGUAAAUUCUGCCUAAAUGUCAUUUUAGUUAUGUAAUUUUUUUUUUUUUUUU